This 449-nucleotide ribosomal RNA is filed under the name uncultured bacterium. RNAcentral's name for it is "bacterial SSU rRNA". It matches the Rfam family "Bacterial small subunit ribosomal RNA", at positions 355 to 796 of the family's 1533-position model. The record is from RNAcentral.
UGAGGAAUCUUGUACAAUGGGCGAAAGCCUGAUACAGCGACGCCGCGUGAAGGAUGAAGGCCUUCGGGUUGUAAACUUCUGUCAAACGGGAAGAAAGUCCUGUCUCUAAUAUAGACGGGAUAUGACGGUACCGUUAAAGGAAGCACCGGCUAACUUCGUGCCAGCAGCCGCGGUAAUACGAAGGGUGCAAGCGUUAUUCGGAUUUACUGGGCGUAAAGGGUGUGUAGGUGGUGUGUUAAGUCUAUUGUUAAAUCUCCCGGCCUAACCGGGAAAAUGCAGUGGAAACUAGCAUGCUAGAGGAUGAGAGAGAGAAGUGGAAUUCUCGGAGUAGCGGUAAAAUGCGUAGAUAUCGAGAGGAACACCGAUGGCGAAGGCAGCUUCUUGGCUCAUUCCUGACACUGAAACACGAAAGCGUGGGGAGCAAACAGGAUUAGAUACCCCCGUAGUCC